AUUGAACGCUGGCGGCAGGCCUAACACAUGCAAGUCGAACGGUAGCACAGAGAGCUUGCUCUCGGGUGACGAGUGGCGGACGGGUGAGUAAUGUCUGGGAAACUGCCCGAUGGAGGGGGAUAACUACUGGAAACGGUAGCUAAUACCGCAUAACGUCGCAAGACCAAAGUGGGGGACCUUCGGGCCUCACACCAUCGGAGGUGCCCAGAUGGGAUUAGCUAGUAGGUGGGGUAAUGGCUCACCUAGGGGACGAUCCCUAGCUGGUCUGAGAGGAUGACCAGCCACACUGGAACUGAGACACGGUCCAGACUCCUACGGGAGGCAGCAGUGGGGAAUAUUGCACAAUGGGCGCAAGCCUGAUGCAGCCAUGCCGCGUGUAUGAAGAAGGCCUUCGGGUUGUAAAGUACUUUCAGCGGGGAGGAAGGCGGUGAAGUUAAUAGCUUCACCGAUUGACGUUACCCGCAGAAGAAGCACCGGCUAACUCCGUGCCAGCAGCCGCAGUAA
RNAcentral lists this ribosomal RNA (504 nucleotides) under uncultured bacterium. Its description in RNAcentral is "partial 16S ribosomal RNA". It matches the Rfam family "Bacterial small subunit ribosomal RNA", at positions 29 to 523 of the family's 1533-position model. The record is from RNAcentral.